UCUGCUUCAAUCCUCCUGAUCUGAAUGAUGGCGGACAAGGUAGAUCCCGCGCAGAAGCUGUAUACCACAAUGCGCCUCUGGGAAUUCCCGGAUCAGUACUUGGUUGAGCCGACUGACGGAUCCUCCGCAUCGAUUCUCGCUGUUAGCCACCUUGAUGGCUCCAUGAAUCUUAUUGAUGAAAUUCCUCAAUGCAACACGGUUCGAGUUCCUAAAAUUCAGACCAUCUAUGGUGUGGUGGGUAUGUUCAAGCUUUUGGCAGG
Molecule: long non-coding RNA, 260 nt
Organism: Salvia splendens (bonfire salvia)
Lineage: Eukaryota; Viridiplantae; Streptophyta; Magnoliopsida; Lamiales; Lamiaceae
Exons: 3
Source: RefSeq, a predicted model, not a curated record